This 172-nucleotide ribosomal RNA is filed under the name uncultured soil bacterium. RNAcentral's name for it is "partial 16S ribosomal RNA". It matches the Rfam family "Bacterial small subunit ribosomal RNA", at positions 335 to 524 of the family's 1533-position model. The record is from RNAcentral.
ACUCCUACGGGAGGCAGCAGUAGGGAAUUUUCCACAAUGGACGAAAGUCUGAUGGAGCAACGCCGCGUGCAGGAUGAAGGCUUUCGGGUCGUAAACUGCUUUUAUAUGUGACGAAUAUGACGGUAGCAUAUGAAUAAGGAUCGGCUAACUCCGUGCCAGCAGCCGCGGUAAU